CCUACGGGAGGCAGCAGUGAGGAAUAUUGGUCAAUGGGCGCGAGCCUGAACCAGCCAAGUAGCGUGAAGGAUGACUGCCCUACGGGUUGUAAACUUCUUUUAUAAAGGAGUAAAGUGAGCCACGCGUGCCUUUUUGAAUGUACUUUAUGAAUAAGCAUCGGCUAACUCCGUGCCAGCAGCCGCGGUAAUACGGGGGAUGCAAGCGUUAUCCGGAUUUAUUGGGUUUAAAGGGUGCGUAGGCUGGGAGGUAAGUCAGCGGUGAAAUGCCGCCGCUCAACGGGGUGAAGUGCCAUUGAUACUGGCUUUCUGGAAUGAGCAUGAAGUGGGAGGAAUGUGUGGUGUAGCGGUGAAAUGCAUAGAUAUCACACAGAACACCGAUUGCGAAGGCAUCUCAC
RNAcentral lists this ribosomal RNA (395 nucleotides) under uncultured bacterium. RNAcentral's name for it is "partial 16S ribosomal RNA". It matches the Rfam family "Bacterial small subunit ribosomal RNA", at positions 338 to 729 of the family's 1533-position model. The record is from RNAcentral.